AUAUCUCUCCCAACACGCAUAAAAUGAGUCCUCUUCUCUUUCCUGAAAAUUAUAAAUUAACUUUUUCAAAGAUGCCGUUUUGUUCAUAGGAAAAUUUUUUUUGAAAAAUUCCUCUUGCAUUGUUCCCCAUGAAGUGAUAGAACUCGAUCUUAGAGAAUUUAGCCAGAUUUUAGCUCGGUCUUUAAGUGAAAAUGUAAAGAGUUUAAGCCUUGCUAUAUCUUCCCUAUGUGGACCGUCUACC
RNAcentral lists this long non-coding RNA (241 nucleotides) under Actinidia chinensis (golden kiwifruit). RNAcentral's name for it is "long non-coding RNA (ACHI_LNC008273)". The record is from RNAcentral. Lineage: Eukaryota; Viridiplantae; Streptophyta; Magnoliopsida; Ericales; Actinidiaceae.